GAUGAACGCUGGCGGCGUGCUUAACACAUGCAAGUCGAACGAACCUUCGGGUUAGUGGCGGACGGGUGAGUAACGCGUGAGAAUCUGCCCUCAGGAGGGGGAUAACGGCUGGAAACGGCCGCUAAUACCCCAUAUGCCGCGAGGUGAAAUGAAUUUCGCCUGAGGAUGAGCUCGCGUCUGAUUAGCUAGUUGGUGGGGUAAGAGCCUACCAAGGCAUCGAUCAGUAGCUGGUCUGAGAGGAUGAUCAGCCACACUGGGACUGAGACACGGCCCAGACUCCUACGGGAGGCAGCAGUGGGGAAUUUUCCGCAAUGGGCGCAAGCCUGACGGAGCAACGCCGCGUGAGGGAUGAAGGCCUCUGGGCUGUAAACCUUUUUUAUCAAGGAAGAAGAUCUGACGGUACUUGAUGAAUAAGCCACGGCUAAUUCCGUGCCAGCCGCCGCAGUAA
Molecule: ribosomal RNA, 448 nt
Filed under: uncultured bacterium
Lineage: Bacteria
Description: partial 16S ribosomal RNA
Rfam family: Bacterial small subunit ribosomal RNA
Source: RNAcentral